Molecule: transfer RNA, 85 nt
Filed under: Castellaniella defragrans 65Phen
Lineage: Bacteria; Pseudomonadati; Pseudomonadota; Betaproteobacteria; Burkholderiales; Alcaligenaceae
Description: tRNA-Leu (TAA) (tRNA-Leu-TAA-1-1)
Rfam family: tRNA
About the family: Transfer RNA (tRNA) molecules are approximately 80 nucleotides in length. Their secondary structure includes four short double-helical elements and three loops (D, anti-codon, and T loops).
Source: RNAcentral
GCCCGAGUGGUGAAAUCGGUAGACACAAGGGACUUAAAAUCCCUCGCCGCAAGGCGUGCCGGUUCGAGUCCGGCCUCGGGCACCA